AGCAGCCGCGGUAAUUCCAGCUCCAAUAGCGUAUAUUAAAGUUGUUGCAGUUAAAAAGCUCGUAGUUGAAUUUUGGAUUCGGCCAAUUGGUCCAUCUUUUAGAUGAGUACUGAUUGUGUUGGGUCUAUCCGCCUGGUGAUACGUAAUGUCCUUUAUUGGGUGUUGCGGGGUAGUCAGGACCUUUACCUUGAAAAAAUUAGAGUGUUUAAAGCAGGCUUAUGCCGGAAUACAUUAGCAUGGAAUAAUAGAAUAGGACGAAGUUGUUUUAUUUGUUGGUUUCUAGGACAACCGUAAUGAUUAAUAGGGAUAGUUGGGGGCAUUAGUAUUCAAUUGUCAGAGGUGAAAUUCUUGGAUUUAUUGAGGACUAACUACUGCGAAAGCAUUUGCCAAGGAUGUUUUCAUUAAUCAAGAACGAAAGUUAGGGGAUCGAAGACGAUCAGAUACCGUCGUAGUCUUAACCAUAAACUAUGCCGACUAGGGAUCGGGCGAUGUUGUUUCCAUUGACUUCGCUCGGCACCUU
RNAcentral lists this ribosomal RNA (520 nucleotides) under uncultured Archaeospora. RNAcentral's name for it is "SSU rRNA". It matches the Rfam family "Eukaryotic small subunit ribosomal RNA", at positions 569 to 1089 of the family's 1831-position model. Lineage: Eukaryota; Fungi; Glomeromycota; Glomeromycetes; Archaeosporales; Archaeosporaceae. The record is from RNAcentral.